CAAUGAGGAGACGCAAGGUGAAAAAACCUCUUAGGCUAUCAGCGGUUAGACAAAUUCUACACUAGUUGACAAACAAAAAGGAAGCAUAACAAGUUGACAAACAAAAAGGAAGCAUAAAAAAGCACUUGAGAGAUGCUUCUUGUUGGUCUCAGAAUCUUAACAUAGAUCAGAUGUACUCUUUCUUGAGUUGUCUGGCUGAAAGUAGUGGUUUGUUUGGAGGAAUGAAAUGAAAGAUUAUAACAUGGAUGAUGGGGAGAUAGAGCUUUCGGAUCAUGUUUUGUUACCGAAUCCCGAUUCAUCUGGCAGUUUGCAGAGCUCUGCAUCUGUGGAUUCACUUCUUGAUGAAUUCUUGAAGAAUACGAGAACAUGUACUCACACUCACACUUGCAACCCCCUUGGCCCUGACAUAACUCAUACACAUACAUGCUACCACACACACACCCAAGUCAUUACUUCUGAAGAAGAUGAUGACGUAAACAAUAGAGAGCAUUCCAAUUCUAAAGUAAAAAGGCCAGCAGGAAAUAGAGAAGCAGUUCGAAAGUACAGACAAAAAAAGAAGGCACAUACUGCUUACUUAGAAGAGGAAGUGAAGAAAUUGCGUAUAUCGAACCAGCAGCUGGUGAGGAAAAUACAGCAGCAGGUAAUUCUUGAAGCCGAGGUUUUGAGGCUAAGAAGCAUAUUGAUGGGCCUGAGGGGAAAGAUUGAUACUGAAUUGGGUGUGUUACCAUUCCAAAAUCAGGGUGACGCUACUGCUGCUUUCAAGGAUGGCAAUUGUGGUGCGCAGUCUACUGGUGGGCCAAUGAAUCUACAGUGUCAGACAGAUUUACCGUGCUUCCAUACUCAAGUAGUAGGUUCGUCUUCGCGGGUUAAUAUUGACGGAAAUGACAAAUUGAUGGAAUCAUGGGAAGGGACUUGUCAGCCUGUGAUAUUAAAUUCUCAGGCUAACAUGGAUAAUAUGGCAACUACAGAAGGACACGCAAUGGACAUGGUGGAAGCCUUGAUGUCAUCUGCCUCUCAAGUUCAAUAACCAGAGGGAAAGAUAAUAUCUUUUCAGAUUUUUGAAGUGGUGGUAGACACAACAGACAUGGUCAUUCUAUUUACAUACAUGCUUUAUUGUAUUUACACUUUGUGAAUCUGUGAUGAUGGUGAAAAUGGUUAUUUCAUCCGGCUGUGCCCAAUACAACUUUCCUUUGGUUUUUCUAGUUUUGCUUCUCCCUUUUGGUCUGUUCUUGAGUAAGCUUCCGAAGUCGAAGUAAAACUGUAAAGGUAGUUAAUAAAGCAUGCUCACCGAGUGCUAUGAUGCAGAGGCUGGCAUCCUCACCUUGAUGACCUCUGCUUGAUGAAAUGUAUCGAGGUACUUAGCAUCAGUUUCUAUGUCCACUAUAAGUGAUACCAAAUGCAGCAGAAGGUUAAAACAGGUCCCUUAUUCCCACGUCAAUGAAAAUUGUGUGUGUGCCGGGAUAGAGGGGAUUUCCACACUUACCAAAUCACCUAGGUUUGUAAAGUGGUGUCCUGUCCCUUUCAUAUUGUUCAAGUAAAAUGGUGUAUGCAACUGCUUGUAGCUAGAUGCCCUUGCCUUUGCCUGGUCAAGGAUCCUGCUCUUGGUGCAAGUCCUUGCAAAAUAUGGCCAAAACUUGGAUUUGAAUGUAAAUAAUUGGUCCUAAUUCACCAUGAUCUCUUUAAAUAUA
Molecule: RNA transcript, 1688 nt
Organism: Populus trichocarpa (black cottonwood)
Lineage: Eukaryota; Viridiplantae; Streptophyta; Magnoliopsida; Malpighiales; Salicaceae
Gene name: basic leucine zipper 23
Exons: 4
Source: RefSeq, a predicted model, not a curated record